Molecule: ribosomal RNA, 578 nt
Filed under: Pseudoalteromonas sp.
Lineage: Bacteria; Pseudomonadati; Pseudomonadota; Gammaproteobacteria; Alteromonadales; Pseudoalteromonadaceae
Description: bacterial SSU rRNA
Rfam family: Bacterial small subunit ribosomal RNA
Source: RNAcentral
UGGGGAUAUUGCACAAUGGGCGCAAGCCUGAUGCAGCCAUGCCGCGUGUGUGAAGAAGGCCUUCGGGUUGUAAAGCACUUUCAGUCAGGAGGAAAGGUUAGUAGUUAAUACCUGCUAGCUGUGACGUUACUGACAGAAGAAGCACCGGCUAACUCCGUGCCAGCAGCCGCGGUAAUACGGAGGGUGCGAGCGUUAAUCGGAAUUACUGGGCGUAAAGCGUACGCAGGCGGUUUGUUAAGCGAGAUGUGAAAGCCCCGGGCUCAACCUGGGAACUGCAUUUCGAACUGGCAAACUAGAGUGUGAUAGAGGGUGGUAGAAUUUCAGGUGUAGCGGUGAAAUGCGUAGAGAUCUGAAGGAAUACCGAUGGCGAAGGCAGCCACCUGGGUCAACACUGACGCUCAUGUACGAAAGCGUGGGGAGCAAACGGGAUUAGAUACCCCGGUAGUCCACGCCGUAAACGAUGUCUACUAGAAGCUCGGAGCCUCGGUUCUGUUUUUCAAAGCUAACGCAUUAAGUAGACCGCCUGGGGAGUACGGCCGCAAGGUUAAAACUCAAAUGAAUUGACGGGGGCCGGGCAC